This 511-nucleotide ribosomal RNA is filed under the name uncultured bacterium. RNAcentral describes it as "bacterial SSU rRNA". It matches the Rfam family "Bacterial small subunit ribosomal RNA", at positions 34 to 518 of the family's 1533-position model. The record is from RNAcentral.
CGCUGGCGGCGUGCCUAAUACAUGCAAGUCGAACGGUCUUUCUAUGGAAGCUUGCUUCCACUGAGAAGAUAGUGGCGAACGGGUGAGUAACACGUGGGUAACCUGCCCAUAAGAGGGGGAUAACAUCCGGAAACGGGUGCUAAUACCGCAUAGUUUUCUUGAUCGCAUGAUUGAGAAAGGAAAGACGGCCUUUGUGCUGUCGCUUAUGGAUGGACCCGCGGCGUAUUAGUUAGUUGGUGAGGUAAUGGCUCACCAAGACGAUGAUACGUAGCCAACCUGAGAGGGUGAUCGGCCACAUUGGGACUGAGACACGGCCCAAACUCCUACGGGAGGCAGCAGUAGGGAAUCUUCCGCAAUGGACGAAAGUCUGACGGAGCAACGCCGCGUGAGUGAAGAAGGUUUUCGGAAUCGUAAAACUCUGUUGUCAGAGAAGAACAAGUUGGAGAGUAACUGCUCCAGCCUUGACGGUAUCUGACCAGAAAGCCACGGCUAACUACGUGCCAGCAGCAGC